GAUGAACGCUAGCGGGAGGCCUAACACAUGCAAGCCGAGCGGUAUUGUUUCUUCGGAAAUGAGAGAGCGGCGUACGGGUGCGUAACACGUGUGCAACCUGCCUUUAUCUGGGGGAUAGCCUUUCGAAAGGAAGAUUAAUACUCCAUAAUAUAUUGAACGGCAUCGUUUAAUAUUGAAAGCUCCGGCGGAUAGAGAUGGGCACGCGCAAGAUUAGCUAGUUGGUGAGGUAACGGCUCACCAAGGCGAUGAUCUUUAGGGGGCCUGAGAGGGUGAUCCCCCACACUGGUACUGAGACACGGACCAGACUCCUACGGGAGGCAGCAGUGAGGAAUAUUGGUCAAUGGGUGCAAGCCUGAACCAGCCAUCCCGCGUGAAGGACGACUGCCCUAUGGGUUGUAAACUUCUUUUGUAUAGGGAUAAACCUACCCUCGUGAGUGUAGCUGAAGGUACUAUACGAAUAAGCACCGGCCAACCCCGUGCCAGCAGCCGCCGUAA
RNAcentral lists this ribosomal RNA (495 nucleotides) under uncultured bacterium. Its description in RNAcentral is "partial 16S ribosomal RNA". It matches the Rfam family "Bacterial small subunit ribosomal RNA", at positions 28 to 523 of the family's 1533-position model. The record is from RNAcentral.